UUAUCAGACUUGUUACAAGCUUGUUCUAACAAGUCUGAUACAGUCAAGAAUGUUACAUGCAAGGCUGACGACACAAUGUUAUAACAAUAUUGUUAUAUCAUGACUCCAUCGCACUUGUUGGAACAACCUUGCAACAAGUCUGAUAA
Non-coding RNA from Paramuricea clavata, 146 nucleotides. The record is from the annotation of a GenBank genome assembly. Lineage: Eukaryota; Metazoa; Cnidaria; Anthozoa; Malacalcyonacea; Plexauridae.